This 925-nucleotide ribosomal RNA is filed under the name uncultured Halobacteria archaeon. RNAcentral's name for it is "bacterial SSU rRNA". It matches the Rfam family "Archaeal small subunit ribosomal RNA", at positions 375 to 1297 of the family's 1478-position model. Lineage: Archaea; Methanobacteriati; Methanobacteriota; Halobacteria. The record is from RNAcentral.
GGGACUCCGAGUGUGAGGGCAUAUAGCCCUCACUUUUCUGAACCGUAAGGUGGUUCAGGAACAAGGACUGGGCAAGACCGGUGCCAGCCGCCGCGGUAAUACCGGCAGUCCAAGUGAUGGCCGAUAUUAUUGGGCCUAAAGCGUCCGUAGCUUGCUGUGUAAGUCCAUUGGGAAAUCGACCAGCUCAACUGGUCGGCGUCCGGUGGAAACUACACAGCUUGGGGCCGAGAGACUCAACGGGUACGUCCGGGGUAGGAGUGAAAUCCUGUAAUCCUGGACGGACCACCAAUGGGGAAACCACGUUGAGAGACCGGACCCGACAGUGAGGGACGAAAGCCAGGGUCUCGAACCGGAUUAUAUACCCGGGUAGUCCUGGCUGUAAACAAUGCUCGCUAGGUAUGUCACGCGCCAUGAGCACGUGAUGUGCCGUAGUGAAGACGAUAAGCGAGCCGCCUGGGAAGUACGUCCGCAAGGAUGAAACUUAAAGGAAUUGGCGGGGGAGCACCACAACCGGAGGAGCCUGCGGUUUAAUUGGACUCAACGCCGGACAUCUCACCGGUCCCGACAGUAGUAAUGACAGUCAGGUUGACGACUUUACUCGACGCUACUGAGAGGAGGUGCAUGGCCGCCGUCAGCUCGUACCGUGAGGCGUCCUGUUAAGUCAGGCAACGAGCGAGACCCACACUUCUAGUUGCCAGCAACACCCCUGCGGUGGUUGGGUACACUAGGAGGACUGCCAUUGCUAAAAUGGAGGAAGGAAUGGGCAACGGUAGGUCAGUAUGCCCCGAAUGGACCGGGCAACACGCGGGCUACAAUGGCUCUGACAGUGGGAUGCAACGCCGAGAGGCGAAGCUAAUCUCCAAACGGAGUCGUAGUUCGGAUUGCGGGCUGAAACCCGCCCGCAUGAAGCUGGAUUCGGUAGUAA